RNAcentral lists this ribosomal RNA (245 nucleotides) under uncultured Thermoproteales archaeon. RNAcentral's name for it is "partial 16S ribosomal RNA". It matches the Rfam family "Archaeal small subunit ribosomal RNA", at positions 474 to 719 of the family's 1478-position model. The record is from RNAcentral. Lineage: Archaea; Thermoproteati; Thermoproteota; Thermoprotei; Thermoproteales.
UACCAGCUCCUCGAGUGGUUGGGACGAUUAUUGGGUCUAAAGCGUCCGUAGCCGGCCGGAAAAGUUCUCCGUUAAAUCCAACGAUCCAAUCGUUGGGCCGCGGGGAAUACUCUUCGGCUUGGGGGCGAGGGAGGUCGGCGGUAGUCUCGGGGUAGGGGCGAAAUCCUAUAAUCCCGAGAGGACCACCAGUGGCGAAGGCGGCCGACUAAAGCGCGCCCGACGGUGAGGGACGAAAGCUGGGGGAG